UGGUUCUGGCAUCGAUGAAGAACGCAGCGAAAUGCGAUAAGUAAUGUGAAUUGCAGAAUUCAGUGAAUCAUCGAAUCUUUGAACGCACAUUGCACCCUCUGGUAUUCCGGGGGGUAUGCCUGUUCGAGCGUCAUUGCAACCCUCAAGCACUGCUUGGCAUUGGAUGCUACCUCUGGUACACCUAAAAAAUAUUGGCAGUGGCAUUCAGCUUCUAGUGUAGUAAUUUUCUCGCUUAGGAGUUGUGAAUGUCCAACUGCCAGAACCCUCCAAUUUAUCACAAGGUUGACCUCGGAUCAGGUAGGGAUACCCGCUGA
This 314-nucleotide unclassified non-coding RNA is filed under the name uncultured fungus. RNAcentral's name for it is "partial contains 5.8S ribosomal RNA and internal transcribed spacer 2". The stretch from base 1 to 133 matches the Rfam family "5.8S ribosomal RNA", at positions 22 to 154 of the family's 154-position model. The record is from RNAcentral. Lineage: Eukaryota; Fungi.